GAAAGACUGAUAGUGCGACGCCGCGUGAACGAAGAAGCCCUUCGGGGUGUAAAGUUCUUUUAUAUGUGAGCAGUGGGUUCCAUAUGAAUAGUAUGGGAUCAGAGAUAUUAGCAUAUGAAUA
RNAcentral lists this ribosomal RNA (121 nucleotides) under uncultured bacterium. RNAcentral describes it as "partial 16S ribosomal RNA". It matches the Rfam family "Bacterial small subunit ribosomal RNA", at positions 377 to 488 of the family's 1533-position model. The record is from RNAcentral.